UAUAGUAAAGUGUUUUUAGCAUUUUGUAUUUUGGUUGCAAAGGGGAUUUAGUUUCUAUUAUAU
Molecule: transfer RNA, 63 nt
Filed under: Benedenia seriolae
Lineage: Eukaryota; Metazoa; Platyhelminthes; Monogenea; Capsalidea; Capsalidae
Description: tRNA-Gln
Source: RNAcentral